AUAAAUUACAUUUAGUCUACUCAAUGAGUAUGACCGUGAACAAUUUAUUUAAAUAUCUUUGACAUUAGAAAAACUAUACAAAAUAGAUCCAAGAAAACAAACAUAUAAUAACAGAAUACAAACAUAACAUAGAAGUAUUUCCUCACAAUCACUACAAUUAUAAGGAAUUGUAGUGUUUUUAUUCUUUGACACACAACAUAACAAACCAUUAAUUUCGAAAAUUUUUGAUGAUAGCAUUUGAUGCUUCUUAGCACUUGUGCUAGUAGUAGCAAUAACGAGAAAAGAGGCCUUUUCUAACUCAAUAAUCA
RNAcentral lists this long non-coding RNA (308 nucleotides) under Capsicum annuum. RNAcentral's name for it is "long non-coding RNA (CANN_LNC016384)". The record is from RNAcentral. Lineage: Eukaryota; Viridiplantae; Streptophyta; Magnoliopsida; Solanales; Solanaceae.